AGAUACUUUCUUGAUGUCACGAUCUUGAUGUGCAUGACCAUGCAUGCACGAACUGCUUAUCACAUCUAUCAAUACUAGCCAGUGGCGAAGCGUAGUAUCGGACAGUUCUUGUUAAUCCUGUUUAUACCUCUUUUUCGUCUCUUAAAUGAUCCGAAAAAGUUUCACGGGAAUACAAAUUAGACAUUUCGUACUCUGUUUCUUAAAAUUCUUCAAGGAAAACAGUAAGAAAUGAGGAAAGAAAUCUGUGGAUAUGCUUGUUUAAAAAAGAACAUCUCUUCUCAGUCUGCGGGAAAUCGCGCAGACGUCUUAAAUCAUCCUGUGAAAUCAUACUAUAAAGAGAGGUUAAAUUCUGAGGAGAUUCUGAAGCGCACAAACUGCUUUGCAACUAUAAUUCAGCGGUAUAUGAGAAUGAUUUUGCGAAUUGCGAGAAUUGUAUCACUUACCAUUAUG
This is a long non-coding RNA of Odontomachus brunneus, 450 nucleotides long. RefSeq lists it as uncharacterized. The record is from RefSeq and is a predicted model, not a curated record. Lineage: Eukaryota; Metazoa; Arthropoda; Insecta; Hymenoptera; Formicidae. The transcript is spliced from 3 exons.